Molecule: transfer RNA, 72 nt
Filed under: Neotoma lepida (desert woodrat)
Lineage: Eukaryota; Metazoa; Chordata; Mammalia; Rodentia; Cricetidae
Rfam family: tRNA
About the family: Transfer RNA (tRNA) molecules are approximately 80 nucleotides in length. Their secondary structure includes four short double-helical elements and three loops (D, anti-codon, and T loops).
Source: Rfam by way of RNAcentral
GUAGCUGUAGCUCAGUUGGUAAAGCAUUUGUCUAGAAUGCAUAAAGCCCUGGGUUUAAUCCCUAGCACUACG